RNAcentral lists this ribosomal RNA (301 nucleotides) under uncultured bacterium. Its description in RNAcentral is "partial 16S ribosomal RNA". It matches the Rfam family "Bacterial small subunit ribosomal RNA", at positions 509 to 807 of the family's 1533-position model. The record is from RNAcentral.
CAGUAGCCGCGGGAAUACGAAGGGUGCAAGCGUUAAUCGGAAUUACUGGGCGUAAAGCGUGCGCAGGCGGUGAUGUAGGACAGUUGUGAAAUCCCCGGGCUCAACCUGGGAACUGCAUCUGUGACUGCAUCGCUGGAGUGCGGCAGAGGGGGAUGGAAUUCCGCGUGUAGCAGUGAAAUGCGUAGAUAUGCGGAGGAACACCGAUGGCGAAGGCAAUCCCCUGGGCCUGCACUGACGCUCAUGCACGAAAGCGUGGGGAGCAAACAGGAUUAGAUACCCCGGUAGUCCCUGUCUCUUAUAC